Molecule: non-coding RNA, 326 nt
Organism: Pelobates cultripes (western spadefoot toad)
Lineage: Eukaryota; Metazoa; Chordata; Amphibia; Anura; Pelobatidae
Source: the annotation of a GenBank genome assembly
GUUAAAUUGUCAGCGGAUCAGUAUAGGAUUAUGGCACAUUGUAAAGGCCUGCGAGAACAUAAAAUCCCAUUAAGCAUAUGCUUCAUAUGGAUUUUCAUGAAGGCAGUAUAUUAUUUAUACAUACAUCAUUUUAUAAAGCAUUGCAAUGUGCAGUCUUGCAAAGGAAUAGGCAUUGUGAUCUACUUGUGGAAAGCCAUAGUUCCUUUUUUUUAACAGUGCAGAUGUAGAAGCAAUAAUUAUAAAAAAUGCCUAACAUUUAAUACAUUAAUGUGCCAUUAUCUUUGAUGAGGGAAAUAGGAGGAUGAAACUGCCCAUUUAAUAAUGGC